RNAcentral lists this transfer RNA (78 nucleotides) under Cordylochernes scorpioides. RNAcentral's name for it is "tRNA-Val". Lineage: Eukaryota; Metazoa; Arthropoda; Arachnida; Pseudoscorpiones; Chernetidae. The record is from RNAcentral.
GGUUGGUUGGUGGAAGGCGCUGGUUAAACCGUUUGGUUUACAACCACUACGACCCGGGUUCGAUCCCCGCAUUGGACA